Molecule: long non-coding RNA, 586 nt
Filed under: Nicotiana tabacum (common tobacco)
Lineage: Eukaryota; Viridiplantae; Streptophyta; Magnoliopsida; Solanales; Solanaceae
Description: long non-coding RNA (NTAB_LNC015845)
Source: RNAcentral
CCUUCCUAGUGGGUCCGGACCCCCCGGACCCCGUUCGCCUAAAAAUAUUUCGGGCAAUCCAAUACGACCUUAGGAACCAUAGUCAGUGCCCUGCCCUGCCAUGACCGUUCCUCGUUUUUUUUGCUUUUUACAACCAAAAAAUAGAAUUCCGCCCGAUUCCCAUAUUUUUAUGUGCUCUAGCCCACGCCUUCCGAGUGGGCCCGGGUCCCCCGAAACCGGAUUGCCUAACAUUUUUCCAGGCCAUCAAAUAUGACCUAAGGAACCAUAGCCACCGCCCCUCCAUGGCCAUUCCUCGUUGUUUUGCGUUUUACGGCCAAUAAGCUAGAAUUUCGCCUGAUUCCCAUAUAUUCGUGUGCGUCCACGCCUUCCGGGUGGGACCGGGACCCCCAGACCCCGGUUGCCUAAACUUUUUACGAGCCAUCAAAUACGACCUAAGGAACCAUAGUCACCGCCCCGCCGUGGUCGUUCCUUGUUGUUUUGCAAUUUACGGCGAAGAAACUAGAAUUUCGCCCGAUUCCCAUAUUUUCGUGUGCUAUAGCCCAUGCCUUCCGAGUGGGUCCGAGACCCCGGACACCGAUCGCCUAAA